Non-coding RNA from Flavobacterium frigoris, 96 nucleotides. NCBI's taxonomy places the organism in Bacteria, Pseudomonadati, Bacteroidota, Flavobacteriia, Flavobacteriales, Flavobacteriaceae. The record is from Rfam.
GUUUAGUGCGUAAGGGAUUGCAAUGGAAAUCCUUUUUUAUUUAUGGAGCGAUAGCGUAUUAUAUAAAAAAGAUUGUAAUGGAAAGCCCGACCCGAA